UAAGGAAUAUUGGUCAAUGGACGAAAGUCUGAACCAGCCAUGCCGCGUGGAGGAUGAAGGUCCUCUGGAUUGUAAACUUCUUUUAUCUGGGACGAAAAAAGGUCUUUCUAGAUCGUCUGACGGUACCAGAUGAAUAAGCACCGGCUAACUCCGUGCCAGCAGCCGCGGUAAUACGGAGGGUGCAAGCGUUAUCCGGAUUCACUGGGUUUAAAGGGUGCGUAGGUGGGUUGGUAAGUCAGUGGUGAAAUCUUCGAGCUUAACUCGGAAACUGCCAUUGAUACUAUCAGUCUUGAAUAUUGUGGAGGUUAGCGGAAUAUGUCAUGUAGCGGUGAAAUGCUUAGAUAUGACAUAGAACACCAAUUGCGAAGGCAGCUGGCUACACAUAUAUUGACACUGAGGCACGAAAGCGUGGGGAUCAAACAGGAUUAGAUACCCUGGUAGUCCACGCCCUAAACUAUGGAUACUCGACAUACGCGAUACACUGUGUGUGUCUGAGCGAAAGCAUUAAGUAUCCCCACCU
Molecule: ribosomal RNA, 520 nt
Filed under: uncultured bacterium
Lineage: Bacteria
Description: partial 16S ribosomal RNA
Rfam family: Bacterial small subunit ribosomal RNA
Source: RNAcentral